RNAcentral lists this ribosomal RNA (301 nucleotides) under uncultured bacterium. RNAcentral's name for it is "partial 16S ribosomal RNA". It matches the Rfam family "Bacterial small subunit ribosomal RNA", at positions 509 to 807 of the family's 1533-position model. The record is from RNAcentral.
CAGCCGCCACGGGAAUACGAAGGGCGCAAGCGUUAAUCGGAAUUACUGGGCGUAAAGCGUGCGUAGGCGGUGAGUUAAGACUGCUGUGAAAUCCCCGGGCUCAACCUGGGAAUGGCAGUGGAUACUGGCUCGCUAGAGUGUGUCAGAGGAUGGUGGAAUUCCCGGUGUAGCGGUGAAAUGCGUAGAGAUCUGGAGGAAUACCGGUGGCGAAGGCGGCCCCCUGGACAAAGACUGACGCUCAGGUGCGAAAGCGUGGGGAGCAAACAGGAUUAGAUACCCGUGUAGUCCCUGUCUCUUAUAC